This 2795-nucleotide long non-coding RNA is filed under the name Carassius auratus (goldfish). RNAcentral describes it as "lncRNA (ENSCARG00000065385.1)". The record is from RNAcentral. Lineage: Eukaryota; Metazoa; Chordata; Actinopteri; Cypriniformes; Cyprinidae.
AAAAACAUAGUGUUUUAUUUAAAACUCAUUUGGAUAUAGCUUUUUAGGUUUACUAUAAGCUAUAGGUUAAGAGCAACAAAAAUCCCUAUAAAAAGUUGCUCAUGCUAGUGUUAUAUUCAGUAGUUUACACACUUCAGUGGUAACACAAACAGUCACAAUCAUCAGUGCAGAAAACAACGUCGGACUGUCGGGUAAUAUUUUCAGCCACCCUCCCCCACUUUUGGACCCGUUUCUGGAGGACUUGAGAGUUGGCGGAGCCCAGGCACAGAAAGCGGUCAGGCACUUCGACAUGGAAGUGAUUUUCAAAAGCGAAAGGAGGACGAAUGGAUUGACGUCUGCUUAAUGUAAGAUACGGUGAGGCCAGGCACUUUGCCAGAGCCAUAGAGACACUCAGGGGAUUACGAAGCAAUGCGUGUCCAAUUUAUUCACGCCAGCCCGUCAGUGAGGGACUGGAUGCGUCCAUUGUGCGCUUAUCUCUCUGACGAAACCCGUGCGUGUCAGCCCACGACCACGAAAAUAUGUCAGCAGUGAAACAAAAGCUAAUUGUCAAACUUAGACAACCCGUGUAACCCAGCACAAACCUGGAUUAGACAACAGUGGCCUCUGAACAUGCUGGAUAUAUUAUUUUUUUUCUGAACAGAGAAGAAUCUGUAUUGCUGAUGUUCUAUAUUUGGACAGCUAAUAACAAGAACAGAUUCAUACGCCUCAACUUCUUGCUCAGCAACAGACGUUCUUCUUCUAUUGAAGCCCAAGGCACACUUCAGAACAUCUCAUGUCAUGCUGGAGAAAAUGAUCAUCAGGUUCUACACAUCAUUUCAAGAUUUUCAAUUCAACUUUUCUCUUAAGUUAUGUUAUGAAUAUGUUAACAUCAUCAUUUAAUAGGAAAAUACGUGUUAAUUUAGAAAAACGCCAACAUGGAAGCAUUUUUAGUGGUAGACUUUUGGAGCCCAAUGUAUUUAUAUUGAGGUAUUGGAGCACUUGCUAAUAGAGCUGUAGCUGCAGCCAAACCACAUAGUGGCGUUUCGUUUGGCUAACUUUGACAGCUGGGGGAAAACAAUAUCAUUUUAAUGUUGAUGAAUAUGAUAAAAUAUCCUUGCGUCAAGAAUAAAAACGGUCUUUGACGCGGCUUCCAUGAAAUGCAGGUUUAGUUUAGGCGAUAUUUGUGUGUGAGAGGCGAGUAUUGGUAGCACAUCCCCUCCCCGCUCUCUCUCUCGCUCGCGCGCGCGUUAUUUUCCAGCUCGGAGCCUCAAACCCGCGCGGCUCGAUCGAUUCGCAUUGAUUGUCCCUGACGAGCUGCUCCACUUUCUAGCCAAUGUCAGCCCGUCUGUGAUCGGGAAGGAGAGAAAUGAAGGAAAAUCUCUGCCGCCCUGGCGGUGUCAUUUCCACACACUUCGUUUGGCCGCCUGCCAGCAGACAGGACAUUCAAAAGAAGCGGAGUGGACUCAGAGAAACCAGGAGCAGAAACGAGCACAGCUGACCCCUGUUUACCACAGCAGACCACUGGAUUCAUGACCGAAUAACGUAUGUUCUGCGUCACUGCAUGGGCGUUUAAAAAGACGCACUUUAUUAAGAAGUCAUUCAUAGGUCUGCAUUUCACACAUUUACAAGUCAAUAACAAAUAAGAACGUCUGAGUUUAAAAAAAAAAAGAGUCAUUUAGCCUAUAUUUUUUUAAAAGAAUUUUUUUUUUUUUAAAAACCGUGCCAAAUUCUUAGAAAUGUAUAGUUUACUUGAACAUUAAAUACACUUUAGUGUACACCUUAAACAAUAUACAACUUUAAAAUUAUUUAAAGGUUCCUUAAAAUAUCUAAGACAUUAGAUAAAAAGCCAGAUGCUUCAUUUUACCUGGACUAAACAUGCCUUUCAUAAAAUAUGUUUAAUAUGUUUAAAAACUGAAUGACCUUGAACAGUUGCUGUAAAGGGAUCCUCUCUGUUUUAUGAUUUUCUUAUCAAAUGACAAAGAAAUGGCUACUUGCAUAUUACUAUGUCACUGACUUUGAUAUUAAGUUUAUUUAAACAUUAAUAAUAAUUUAAAACAAAAUUGCAAAAAUGCUAAAUUUAAAUAAUAAUAAUAUGAAAAGAUUAUCUCAGACUACUUAUAUGCCAAGAUUUCAUGGCCUAUUCAUUGAAGUGUUUUUCUCUUAUUUAGAGUUAGUUACACUAGGACAUUUUUUCCCCCUUAAAGCCCAACAAUUAAAAUCUUAAUCUUCUUCUUCUUCUUCUUCUUCUUCUUAUUAAAUAAUAAGAGGUAAAUACUAUAAUAUUUUUUAUUUAUUUAUAAUUUUUGGUAUAAUAAUAAUUAUUAUUAUUAUUAUUUUGGCAAAAAAAGAAUUAUGAUGAUGAUAAUAAUAAUAAUAAUAAUAAUAAUAAUAAUAAUAAUAAUAAUAGCCUAAUAAUAAUAAUAAAAUAAAAUGCAUUUUAAUGGGUUUUUGAAUUACCUCAGAACUAGACAAAAAAUAAUAAUAUUGAGCAUCUCAUCAUUCAUCCAUAAUGCAUAAAAUAAAAUGGCAGCCCAUAAUAUGUUGCUAGUUUCGCUGUGGAAUUUACUCGGAGCUCCACUGAUGCGAAAUAUCAAUUAAUACAAAAUAUCAAUUAAUAUUAUAUUAUUAGCAUUACAAAGUUUAAAAAAGUUCAGACGUGUUUGGAUCUUUUAUACUUUAUUUUCCCAUAAUAAUACAUUCCGUCGAGUAACAAUAAUAUCGCGAAAUUAAACCAAACAGUAUGAUAACAAAGUCAUGCAGUCACCACGUGCAUCCUUCUGACAUAGUUUGAUGGUAAAUAUGAAUGUGUUGAAGGG